UACGGAGGAUGCGAGCGUUAUCCGGAUUUAUUGGGUUUAAAGGGUGCGUAGGCGGAUUUUUAAGUCAGCGGUAAAAUUGAGAGGCUCAACCUCUUCCCGCCGUUGAAACUGGUGGUCUUGAGUGGAUGAGAAGUACGCGGAAUGCGAGGUGUAGCGGUGAAAUGCAUAGAUAUCACGCAGAACUCCGAUUGCGAAGGCAGCGUACCGGCAUCCAACUGACGCUGAGGCACGAAAGCGUGGGGAUCAAACAGG
RNAcentral lists this ribosomal RNA (252 nucleotides) under uncultured bacterium. RNAcentral's name for it is "partial 16S ribosomal RNA". It matches the Rfam family "Bacterial small subunit ribosomal RNA", at positions 524 to 776 of the family's 1533-position model. The record is from RNAcentral.